RNAcentral lists this ribosomal RNA (253 nucleotides) under uncultured bacterium. RNAcentral's name for it is "partial 16S ribosomal RNA". It matches the Rfam family "Bacterial small subunit ribosomal RNA", at positions 524 to 776 of the family's 1533-position model. The record is from RNAcentral.
UACGUAGGGUGCAGGCGUUAAUCGGAAUUACUGGGCGUAAAGCGUGCGCAGGCGGUUUGUUAAGAGAGAUGUGAAAGCCCCGGGCUUAACCUGGGAACUGCGUUUCUAACUGGCAAGCUUGAGUGUGGCAGAGGGGGGUGGAAUUCCACGUGUAGCAGUGAAAUGCGUAGAGAUGUGGAGGAACACCGAUGGCGAAGGCAGCCCCCUGGGCUAACACUGACGCUCAUGCACGAAAGCGUGGGGAGCAAACAGG